This 539-nucleotide ribosomal RNA is filed under the name uncultured bacterium. RNAcentral describes it as "bacterial SSU rRNA". It matches the Rfam family "Bacterial small subunit ribosomal RNA", at positions 356 to 896 of the family's 1533-position model. The record is from RNAcentral.
GAGGAAUAUUGGUCAAUGGACGGAAGUCUGAACCAGCCAAGUAGCGUGCAGGAUGACGGCCCUAUGGGUUGUAAACUGCUUUUGUAUGGGGAUAAAGUUAGGGACGUGUCCCUAUUUGCAGGUACCAUACGAAUAAGGACCGGCUAAUUCCGUGCCAGCAGCCGCGGUAAUACGGAAGGUCCAGGCGUUAUCCGGAUUUAUUGGGUUUAAAGGGAGCGUAGGCUGGAGAUUAAGUGUGUUGUGAAAUGUAGACGCUCAACGUCUGAAUUGCAGCGCAUACUGGUUUCCUUGAGUACGCACAACGUUGGCGGAAUUCGUCGUGUAGCGGUGAAAUGCUUAGAUAUGACGAAGAACUCCGAUUGCGAAGGCAGCUGACGGGAGCGCAACUGACGCUUAAGCUCGAAGGUGCGGGUAUCAAACGGGAUUAGAUACCCUGGUAGUCCGCACAGUAAACGAUGGAUGCCCGCUGUUGGUACCUGGUAUCAGCGGCUAAGCGAAAGCAUUAAGCAUCCCACCUGGGGAGUACGCCGGCAACGGUG